CAAGAAUCAUACACAGCCACGCACGCGAAGGAAAGAUGGGGAUACGUUCCCAGGUAGACCCUUAUGCGAAGCGCCGGCCGUGGUAUGUUCAAACCCUCUGCAAAGAGACUUAUAUUAUUACGUUUCGUUCCCUCGGUGGGUCUAUGUCCGCCGAGCGACGUUUUCAAAAAAACUCUUGUUAAGUAUGUGCCGUCAGAGUAACGAUCAAAUCAAUUA
RNAcentral lists this unclassified non-coding RNA (216 nucleotides) under uncultured fungus. Its description in RNAcentral is "sequence contains ITS1". The record is from RNAcentral. Lineage: Eukaryota; Fungi.